RNAcentral lists this ribosomal RNA (470 nucleotides) under uncultured bacterium. RNAcentral describes it as "bacterial SSU rRNA". It matches the Rfam family "Bacterial small subunit ribosomal RNA", at positions 29 to 526 of the family's 1533-position model. The record is from RNAcentral.
AACGAACGCUUUCGGUAUGCUUAACACAUGCAAGUUGAACGGAUUAAUUUAGGGCUUGCUCUGAAUUAGUUAGUAGCAAACGGGUGAGUAACACGUGGGAAUCUACCCAUCAGUACGGAAUAACACUUAGAAAUAAAUGCUAAUACCGUAUAUUCUCUUCAGAGGAAAGAUUUAUCGCUGAUGGAUGAGCCCGCGUCAGAUUAGGUAGUUGGUAGGGUAAUGGCCUACCAAGCCAACGAUCUGUAGCUGAUCUGAGAGGAUGAUCAGCCACACUGGGACUGAGACACGGCCCAGACUCCUACGGGAGGCAGCAGUGGGGAAUAUUGGACAAUGGGCGAAAGCCUGAUCCAGCAAUGCCGAGUGGGUGACGAAGGCCUUAGGGUUGUAAAGCCCUUUUCAGCAGGGAAGAUAAUGACGGUACCUGACCAAGAAAGCCCCGGCUAACUCCGUGCCAGCCGCCGCGGUAAUAC